RNAcentral lists this ribosomal RNA (1357 nucleotides) under uncultured bacterium. RNAcentral describes it as "bacterial SSU rRNA". It matches the Rfam family "Bacterial small subunit ribosomal RNA", at positions 26 to 1381 of the family's 1533-position model. The record is from RNAcentral.
GAAUGAAACGCCUAGCGACAGGCCUAACACAUGCAAGUCGAGGGGUAACAUUGGUGCUUGCACCAGAUGACGACCGGCGCACGGGUGCGUAACGCGUAUGAAACUUACCUGUUAACAAGGGAUAGCCCGAAGAAAUUUGGAUUAAUACCUUAUGGUCUAUUAUUUUCGCAUGUUUAUAAUAGUAAAGAUUUAUCGAUAACAGAUAGUCAUGCGUGACAUUAGGUAGUUGGUGGAGUAACGGCCCACCAAGCCGACGAUGUCUAGGGGUUCUGAGAGGAAGGUCCCCCACACUGGUACUGAGACACGGACCAGACUCCUACGGGAGGCAGCAGUGAGGAAUAUUGGUCAAUGGACGCAAGUUUGAACCAGCCAUGUCGCGUGCAGGAGAACGGCCCUAUGGGUCUUAAACUGCUUUUAUACGGGAAGAAAGGGGAGUAUUAAUACUCUUAUAUGCCGGUACCGUAUGAAUAAGCAUCGGCUAACUCCGUGCCAGCAGCCGCGGUAAUACGGAGGAUGCGAGCGUUAUCCGGAUUUAUUGGGUUUAAAGGGUGCGUAGGCUGAAUAAUAAGUCAGUGGUGAAAUUCGGUGGCUCAACCAUCACACUGCCAUUGAUACUGUUAUUCUUGAAUUAAGUUGAGGUAUGCGGAAUGUGUUAAGUAGCGGUGAAAUGCAUAGAUAUAACACAGAACACCAAUUGCGAAGGCAGCAUACUAAGUUUAUAUUGACGCUGAUGCACGAAAGCGCGGGUAGCGAACAGGAUUAGAUACCCUGGUAGUCCGCGCCGUAAACGAUGAUUACUGGUUGUUGGCGAUAGACAGUCAGCGACUGAGCGAAAGCAUUAAGUAAUCCACCUGGGGAGUACGUUGGCAACAAUGAAACUCAAAGGAAUUGACGGGGGCCCGCACAAGCGGAGGAACAUGUGGUUUAAUUCGAUGAUACGCGAGGAACCUUACCCGGACUUAAAUGUAUAUUGACGUAACAAGAGAUUGUUAUUUCUUCGGACAAUAUACAAGGUGCUGCAUGGUUGUCGUCAGCUCGUGCCGUGAGGUGUCGGGUUAAGUCCCAUAACGAGCGCAACCCCAAUUGUUAGUUACUAGCGAGUAGUGUCGAGGACUCUAGCAAGACUGCCGGUGUAAACCGCGAGGAAGGUUGGGAUGACGUCAAAUCGGCACGGCCCUUACGUUCGGGGCUACACACGUGUUACAAUGGUCGAUACAAAGGGCAGCUACCCGGUGACGGGAUGCUAAUCUCAAAAGUCGGUCUCAGUUCGGAUCGAAGUCUGCAACUCGACUUCGUGAAGCUGGAUUCGCUAGUAAUCGCGCAUCAGCCAUGGCGCGGUGAAUACGUUCCCGGGCCU